This 447-nucleotide ribosomal RNA is filed under the name uncultured bacterium. RNAcentral's name for it is "bacterial SSU rRNA". It matches the Rfam family "Bacterial small subunit ribosomal RNA", at positions 329 to 792 of the family's 1533-position model. The record is from RNAcentral.
AUCCAGACUCCUACGGGAGGCAGCAGUGGGGGAUAUUGCACAAUGGGGGGAACCCUGAUGCAGCGACGCCGCGUGGGUGAAGGAGUGCUUCGGCAUGUAAAGCCCUAUCGGCAGGGAAGAAGCAAGACGGUACCUGACUAAGAAGCCCCGGCUAACUACGUGCCAGCAGCCGCGGUAAUACGUAGGGGGCGAGCGUUAUCCGGAUUUACUGGGUGUAAAGGGAGCGCAGGCGGUUCUGCAAGUCUGAUGUGAAAGCCCGGGGCUCAACCGCGGGACUGCAUUGGAAACUGCGGGACUGGAGUGUCGGAGGGGUAAGCGGAAUUCCUGGUGUAGCGGUGAAAUGCGUAGAUAUCAGGAGGAACACCGGUGGCGAAGGCGGCUUACUGGACGAUGACUGACGCUGAGGCUCGAAAGCGUGGGGAGCAAACAGGAUUAGAUACCCCGGUA